GUGGUCAUGAUGGGGAAGAAGGGCACAUGAAGGACUAACUCAUUUAUCAAGUGAAAUGGACAUCUCUUGCAUGAGUUAGUAAUGCACGUGCCCUGCUUCUCCAUCUUGCUCAA
Molecule: microRNA precursor, 113 nt
Filed under: Olea europaea subsp. europaea
Lineage: Eukaryota; Viridiplantae; Streptophyta; Magnoliopsida; Lamiales; Oleaceae
Rfam family: MIR164 microRNA precursor family
Source: RNAcentral